Molecule: transfer RNA, 73 nt
Filed under: Bacteroidales bacterium
Lineage: Bacteria; Pseudomonadati; Bacteroidota; Bacteroidia; Bacteroidales
Also listed under: 1 other name
Description: tRNA-Gly
Rfam family: tRNA
About the family: Transfer RNA (tRNA) molecules are approximately 80 nucleotides in length. Their secondary structure includes four short double-helical elements and three loops (D, anti-codon, and T loops).
Source: RNAcentral
GCGGAAGUAGCUCAGUUGGUAGAGCAUUGGCUUCCCAAGCCAAGGGUCGCGGGUUCGAAUCCCGUUUUCCGCU